GGUGUCGGGCUCGAGCCAGAAGUUUGGAAAUGAAGCAUAAUGUUUGUCGACGUGCGGUCCUGGAGGGUUGACGUGCUUCUGACGUACGUGCUAUAAUCGAAUCUACUCAUUCAGGUCUGAGUGGUCUGACCGUGGUUAACGUGCUACUGACGUCCGUACUAGACCUGGGUUGACAUGCUCUUGAUGUACGUACCCUAAUCCAAAGGUAUGUCGCCCGAGGUAUGCGGAUUGAUCCAAGGUUUGAGUAGCGCGCGCUAUAUACCCCAUAGCGCGGGUAGACGGCGCUAUCUCCCUGCGCUAUGGGAAGUGGACCUUUAGGCGGAUCCGGGUUAGGAUCCGCCCAAAUACCCAAAUAGGAUUAGUAUUUAUAUAGAUUUCUCUUCUAAAUCUCACGAUUUCUCUCUAUUUCUCUCCAUUUCUCCCUAUUUCUAAAACUAUUGAUUUAACUUUAACUUGAUCACUAAUUAUUGUAUAUAUCUAGAAUUUUUUUAAAAUACACUUGGCACUAUGGAGGUGCUAUAGCGCGCUAUGGAGGUGCUAUAGCGCGCUAUAUCCCCAUAGAGCGGGUAGCCGGCGCUACACGCUAUGGCGCAACUCAAACCUUGGGUUGAUCGUAACCGUAUUGUGCGGACCACUCGAGAUGAUCACAAUGGUUCUUUGACUACGAAGAAGACAUAGCUCAGUGGCAGAGCUUUUAUCCCAAAGUGGAGUGGUGAGUGAAUCUGAUUUCCUCCUUGAGCUCAGGGUGCCAAGAAGUGCCAUGAGCCUUGGGCCAAAUCGACCAACCCAUGUGGGUUGGGUCUUCACGCGAUAUCCCCAUUUUCUAGGGGUAGGAUGAUGAUACAUAUUUUUUUCCCUUUUUAUUAGAUUGGGCCCUAAUUUCAUUUGGAUCCAAGGGUUGGAUCUUCUUUUAGGUUAAUUCUUAUUUAAAUGGAGUUGGGAAUUUUACUCAUUAACCCAACAAUAACCAUCAUAAAAUUAGUUGAAAAAUCUAUUAAAUUGAUCCUAGAAAGUAUCGGCUUUGAUAAACAUGACACCUCAUUUUCAGUUUUUGUUGACGGUUCUUUUUCAUGCAUUUUCUAAAUAGAUAGGGGAUGAAGGCAAGGUGAGUAGGUGACCCCAUCUCACCAUAUCAUUUGGAUUGUGAAUGGAGUAUCUUGUCCUUUCUUUGUAGAACAAAAUGAGGUGGAACAUUUUUCCACCUACACUCUAAAUGACACAAAAGUGCCAUCCCACCAAACUUAUGCAGAUGACUCAAUGAUUUUAACUAAACCACCAAUGUAGGUCCUUCCCCACCUCCGGGUUCAAGAUCCACUUAUUGGUCAGAUCUGAAAGCUUUAUCAUCUUAGUG
RNAcentral lists this long non-coding RNA (1351 nucleotides) under Zostera marina. Its description in RNAcentral is "long non-coding RNA (ZMAR_LNC001286)". The record is from RNAcentral. Lineage: Eukaryota; Viridiplantae; Streptophyta; Magnoliopsida; Alismatales; Zosteraceae.